This is a long non-coding RNA of Cyprinus carpio carpio, 1178 nucleotides long. NCBI's taxonomy places the organism in Eukaryota, Metazoa, Chordata, Actinopteri, Cypriniformes, Cyprinidae. The record is from Ensembl.
CCAAAUUGUUAAAAUAGGCAUGACGUUUCCUUUGCCUUGGGCAGUUGGCCUGGGCACAUUGCAGGUGCUCCAAGGCUAAAUUUUCCCGUGGUAUCCACUUGUGUUCCAUGUACCCAGUUGUCUCUACGUCAGCUCUCGCAGUUAUUAAGAGGUAGCCCAAACACUUGCCCAUGUCCACAUGUCCAAUGUAAACUCAUGAAGAGCGACUGGAGGCUAAUAUCAUGGAUAGACUGGGACUGGAAUCACAGGUGGUCAUGCACUAACCUAAUCCAGGGAUAGCAUCUGCCUCUCUCUUGCUCUGUAGGCUGACGUCCAAAACACUGCUCAUCUUCUGCUGGCCUCCAGCACCUAUACAUGGCUUACAGCAGAGGGACUUUUAAGUCCAUAACACCAAAACUAGAACAGUUCUCAGUUGGAGGUUUCCUUACCAAAGGAGCCAUACUGCUAUAGCAGAACCUUUUAAAAGUACCAUCUGCUGGAUUCUUCUGCCAUGGUCAAUUUAUUCUGGAAGUCAUGGAAGGCAGCUGGGGCCUAUCCACCCACAGUCUGGGCUCUGCUUUCUAACAAGCUCGGCAGAGCCAGUCCAUGAGGGGUCCGAUUGGAGGAUGGCUGAGCAGCCCCAGGGGGUUCACAGAGAGCACAGUUUCCCCGGGGGGACUUGUUGCCUUUGUGCUGUCCCUCAGUAGCAGCGCUGCCAGUGUCACCAGGAUCACAUCACAUGUCAGCGCGCUGAAGUUUGCAGACUGGGAGCCGCAUGGAGCCCAUCAGGUUCCUGUGAUAACCACGCAGUUGGCCCUCUACUUUGUACUGCAGCAACCAUUCAUGCCCCGAACAUUAACUGUGCUUUUGCAUGCCUGUCACACUUAAGAUUGUGCAGGCGUUCAAAGGCUUUUAAAGGGUUUUCUUUUUUCAACUUUAUUCACGCCGUCUCUCUCUCACUCAUCCAUAAAGAAAGUAAAUUGCAAUCAUAAAUAGGUUUUGAUUGCUGUAAGUUUGUUGGAUGUUUGGCAGUUUUCCUUUUUUGUGAAGUUUGGUAUGACCUCAAAUAAACCUUAACAACAUAUACACUUAAAAAAAGGCAGUGACAAACAGUAAUAUGUACAUUUAAGGUACUAAUGUACACAUUUUAGGGAUAAAAAAGGUAAGUCACAGCGUCAUUUUAGUCACACAUAAUAAAU